AGCAAGUGUAUUAUCUUUGAUGGCAUUUUCUAUAUCCCUAAAGCAAGAAGAGGUUCUGCGGACACAAGGGACUUCAUUAUAACAUUACAAAACGUUCAAGAUAAGAUUACUUUUCUACAGGCAGUGAAGGGUAAAACAUAAUAAUUCAAUGAAUGUCAGCACAUUUUCCUGUUAUGUUACAGACUACUGCUGGGCACUCGAUGACUCAGAUUCUUCUCGUGACUGCAAU
Molecule: non-coding RNA, 229 nt
Organism: Pelobates cultripes (western spadefoot toad)
Lineage: Eukaryota; Metazoa; Chordata; Amphibia; Anura; Pelobatidae
Source: the annotation of a GenBank genome assembly